GUGAGGAAUAUUGGUCAAUGGGCGCGAGCCUGAACCAGCCAAGUCGCGUGAGGGAGGACGGCCCUACGGGUUGUAAACCUCUUUUGCCGGGGAGCAACGGGCGUCACGUGUGGCGCCACUGAGAGUACCCGGAGAAAAAGCAUCGGCUAACUCCGUGCCAGCAGCCGCGGUAAUACGGAGGAUGCGAGCGUUAUCCGGAUUUAUUGGGUUUAAAGGGUGCGUAGGCGGACUGCCAAGUCAGCGGUAAAAUUGCGGGGCUCAACCCCGUCGAGCCGUUGAAACUGGCGGUCUUGAGUGGGCGAGAAGUAUGCGGAAUGCGUGGUGUAGCGGUGAAAUGCAUAGAUAUCACGCAGAACUCCGAUUGCGAAGGCAGCAUACCGGCGCCCGACUGACGCUGAAGCACGAAAGCGUGGGUAUCGAACAGG
This 425-nucleotide ribosomal RNA is filed under the name uncultured bacterium. Its description in RNAcentral is "bacterial SSU rRNA". It matches the Rfam family "Bacterial small subunit ribosomal RNA", at positions 354 to 776 of the family's 1533-position model. The record is from RNAcentral.